GAGGGUAUAACUCAGGUAGAGUGCGUGCCUAGCAUGCAGGAGGUCAUGGGAUCAACCCCCAGUACCUCCA
Molecule: transfer RNA, 70 nt
Filed under: Camelus dromedarius (Arabian camel)
Lineage: Eukaryota; Metazoa; Chordata; Mammalia; Artiodactyla; Camelidae
Also listed under: 1 other name
Rfam family: tRNA
About the family: Transfer RNA (tRNA) molecules are approximately 80 nucleotides in length. Their secondary structure includes four short double-helical elements and three loops (D, anti-codon, and T loops).
Source: Rfam by way of RNAcentral